This 512-nucleotide ribosomal RNA is filed under the name uncultured bacterium. RNAcentral's name for it is "partial 16S ribosomal RNA". It matches the Rfam family "Bacterial small subunit ribosomal RNA", at positions 28 to 507 of the family's 1533-position model. The record is from RNAcentral.
GAUGAACGCUGGCGGCGUGCCUAAUACAUGCAAGUCGAACGAAACUUCUUUAUCACCGAGUGCUUGCACUCACCGAUAAAGAGUUGAGUGGCGAACGGGUGAGUAACACGUGGGCAACCUGCCCAAAAGAGGGGGAUAACACUUGGAAACAGGUGCUAAUACCGCAUAACCAUAGUUACCGCAUGGUAACUAUGUAAAAGGUGGCUAUACUACCGCUUUUGGAUGGGCCCGCGGCGCAUUAGCUAGUUGGUAGGGUAAAGGCUUACCAAGGCAAUGAUGCGUAGCCGAAUUGAGAGGUUGAUCGGCCACAUUGGGACUGAGACACGGCCCAAACUCCUACGGGAGGCAGCAGUAGGGAAUCUUCCACAAUGGGCGAAAGCCUGAUGGAGCAACGCCGCGUGGGUGAAGAAGGUCUUCGGAUCGUAAAACCCUGUUGUUAGAGAUGAAAGUGCGUGAGAGUAACUGUUCACGUUUCGACGGUAUCUAACCAGAAAGCCACGGCUAACUACGUG